AACGAACGCUGGCGGCAUGCCUAACACAUGCAAGUCGAACGAGACCUUCGGGCCUAGUGGCGCACGGGUGCGUAACGCGUGGGAACCUGCCCUUAGGUUCGGAAUAACUCCCGGAAAGGGGUGCUAAUACCGGAGAAUGUCUUCGGACCAAAGAUUUAUCGCCUUUGGAUGGGCCCGCGUUGGAUUAGUUGGUUGGUAGGGUAAAAGCCUCCCAAGGCGACGAUCCAUAGCUGGUCUGAGAGGAUGGUCAGCCACACUGGGACUGAGACACGGCCCAGACUCCUACGGGAGGCAGCAGUGGGGAAUAUUGGACAGUGGGCGAAAGCCUGAUCCAGCAAUGCCGCGUGAGUGAUGAAGGCCUUAGGGUUGUAAAGCUCGUUUACCCGGGAUGAUAAUGACAGUACCGGGAGAAUAAGCACCGGCUAACUCCGUG
Molecule: ribosomal RNA, 433 nt
Filed under: uncultured bacterium
Lineage: Bacteria
Description: partial 16S ribosomal RNA
Rfam family: Bacterial small subunit ribosomal RNA
Source: RNAcentral